RNAcentral lists this ribosomal RNA (254 nucleotides) under uncultured bacterium. RNAcentral's name for it is "partial 16S ribosomal RNA". It matches the Rfam family "Bacterial small subunit ribosomal RNA", at positions 524 to 776 of the family's 1533-position model. The record is from RNAcentral.
UACGUAGGGGGCGAGCGUCGUCCGGAUUUAUUGGGCGUAAAGAGCUCGUAGGCGGUUCGGUAAGUCGGAUGUGAAAUCUCCACGCUCAACGUGGAGGGGCCAUUCGAUACUGCCGUGACUCGAGUCCGGUAGGGGAGUGUGGAAUUCCCGGUGUAGCGGUGAAAUGCGCAGAGAUCGGGAGGAACACCCGUAGCGAAGGCGGCACUCUGGGCCGGUACUGACGCUGAGGAGCGAAAGCGUGGGGAGCAAACAGG